RNAcentral lists this unclassified non-coding RNA (208 nucleotides) under Hevea brasiliensis (rubber tree). The record is from RNAcentral. Lineage: Eukaryota; Viridiplantae; Streptophyta; Magnoliopsida; Malpighiales; Euphorbiaceae.
ACACUGCCCUAUAUUCCAAGUAUUUUAGCACUUCACAGACAAUGAAGGGAUAACCAAUUAUUGUUGAAAUGUCAUGUAGAAAAGUAAAAAACUAAUUGGUAUUUUUAUCUCCAGGACAGUUCCUUUCGCAAUCACACAUGGUCAUACCAUUUCUAUAUCUAAAUCAUCUGUAUAAAACACAUUGCAGGGAGAUCUGGCAUUCAUCUUG